Molecule: ribosomal RNA, 444 nt
Filed under: Neisseria bacilliformis
Lineage: Bacteria; Pseudomonadati; Pseudomonadota; Betaproteobacteria; Neisseriales; Neisseriaceae
Description: bacterial SSU rRNA
Rfam family: Bacterial small subunit ribosomal RNA
Source: RNAcentral
AUUGAACGCUGGCGGCAUGCUUUACACAUGCAAGUCGGACGGCAGCACAGAGAAGCUUGCUUCUUGGGUGGCGAGUGGCGAACGGGUGAGUAACGCAUCGGAACGUACCGAGUAAUGGGGGAUAACUGUCCGAAAGGACAGCUAAUACCGCAUACGCCCUGAGGGGGAAAGCGGGGGAUCUUAGGACCUCGCGUUAUUCGAGCGGCCGAUGUCUGAUUAGCUGGUUGGCGGGGUAAAGGCCCACCAAGGCGACGAUCAGUAGCGGGUCUGAGAGGAUGAUCCGCCACACUGGGACUGAGACACGGCCCAGACUCCUACGGGAGGCAGCAGUGGGGAAUUUUGGACAAUGGGCGCAAGCCUGAUCCAGCCAUGCCGCGUGUCUGAAGAAGGCCUUCGGGUUGUAAAGGACUUUUGUCAGGGAAGAAAGGGAGCGUGCCAAUACCA